This 373-nucleotide ribosomal RNA is filed under the name uncultured bacterium. RNAcentral's name for it is "bacterial SSU rRNA". It matches the Rfam family "Bacterial small subunit ribosomal RNA", at positions 525 to 896 of the family's 1533-position model. The record is from RNAcentral.
ACAGAGGGUGCAAACGUUGUUCGGAAUCACUGGGCGUAAAGCGCGUGUAGGCGGCUAUGUAAGUCGGGCGUGAAAUCCCACGGCUCAACCGUGGAAGUGCGUUCGAAACUGUGUAGCUUGAGUCCUGGAGAGGAAGACGGAAUACUUGGUGUAGAGGUGAAAUUCGUAGAUAUCAGGUAGAACACCAGUGGCGAAGGCGGUCUUCUGGACAGUGACUGACGCUGAGACGCGAAAGCGUGGGGAGCAAACAGGAUUAGAUACCCUGGUAGUCCACGCCGUAAACGAUGAGUGCUAGGUGUCACGGGCUUUGACCCUCGUGGUGCCGAAGCUAACGCGUUAAGCACUCCGCCUGGGGAGUACGGCCGCAAGGCUA